Long non-coding RNA from Paramisgurnus dabryanus, 311 nucleotides. RefSeq lists it as uncharacterized. The record is from RefSeq and is a predicted model, not a curated record. NCBI's taxonomy places the organism in Eukaryota, Metazoa, Chordata, Actinopteri, Cypriniformes, Cobitidae.
UGGUACUUGAAAUCAAUCUAAAUACCUUUCACUUGUUCAGUAUUGUGUUUUUGUUGCUAUAUAAACGAUGAACUUAAUAUAGGCAGAUGGCCAUUGCUUUUCUGAACAGCAGUUGGAAGUAUUCUGAGGUCAUUGGCACUGCUGUAUCACAACAUCAUUUGCUGGCAUGUACAUCUAGGAUGCGAUCUAUCCAGAUGAGAUUCUCUCCAAUGCCAGCAAACCGACAGUGGAAGACACGAGCCAGCACUUCUCCCCUCACAUUGCCUCAGGCUUAUGAGGUCCCCACUUAUAACUGAUUCUCCCCCCUUCAU